AUAAUUAGAAGUAGAAAGUGGCUCUCUACACACUCGAAAGAAUACCUGAGAUGCAGGAUACGCCACCCUGCCUAAUUAU
Molecule: non-coding RNA, 79 nt
Filed under: unclassified sequences
Description: skipping-rope RNA
Rfam family: skipping-rope RNA
About the family: Firmicutes, Fusobacteria, AlphaProteobacteria, Spirochaetes. Downstream gene
Source: Rfam by way of RNAcentral